Long non-coding RNA from Armigeres subalbatus, 656 nucleotides. RefSeq lists it as uncharacterized. The record is from RefSeq and is a predicted model, not a curated record. Lineage: Eukaryota; Metazoa; Arthropoda; Insecta; Diptera; Culicidae. The transcript is spliced from 3 exons.
CUACACUUAUAACGACUACAAACGCAUGUACUUAAUAACUAAAAUUUGGUUGGACGAUGACAUAGGAUUCACGACGAUUAUCGACCUGUACUUUCAACACGGACCACUUUGCUGUUCUACAGCGAACUAUGGACUAUCACAACUAUCGAUUCACGAAUGAUUGCCAGGACGAAUAUCGUUCGCAGAGAACACACCGACACUCCGUCCCGCAUCAUCUGCUAAUUCAUACGAGCUACUGUCUCGUUUCGCAAUUAUGGUGCACGGUGUAUAUAAUGGGCCGUACUUUGCAUUAUAAUGCUCCACCGCAGAAGAUUGCCGGAAGUUACGCCUGAACACCUUCUGGCCAAUCUGCUUGUGCCUCAACUUCCGUUUCAUAUUGUCUCGCGAUUCAGCGCUUGAAAACUCGACAUUGCGAAUCAUCAGCUCAUGCUCCAAUUCAUCAUCGAGUAGAUGAUCUGCGUUCAUAGAACGGUAUUGUAGGAGUAAGGAUUCAGAGUUCAUGAUAAAUACUAAAUUAGGCACUAAUUAUAAUAAGUUUCAAAUUCAAGUAAUACUAAGCAAAAAUUCAAAUUAACUAAUACUAAGACAAAAAUUCAAAUUCAAUUCAAUUGCAACUUAUAAAUAAUGAAAAAUCAUGAAAAUAAAUGUAGUAGAAU